Molecule: long non-coding RNA, 646 nt
Filed under: Cucumis sativus (cucumber)
Lineage: Eukaryota; Viridiplantae; Streptophyta; Magnoliopsida; Cucurbitales; Cucurbitaceae
Description: long non-coding RNA (CSAT_LNC003003)
Source: RNAcentral
GAAAAAAUCUCCAAUUUACAGCAAGUUAAAGAAAAAAAAGAAGAGAAAAACAGCAGUUAAAAAAAACUGGGCAUCUUGCUUCUUUCUUAUUGAAAGUUCUGCCGUUUCUUUCAAGUCAAAUUGACCAUAAAAUGCUCAAAUGAGAUUUUUCAAUAGGAAUAUGUAAAAAAAAAUAUAAUAUGUAAAAGAAUUUUUGUGAAACGUGGGAGAGAAGCGAUAACAUUAUCCUUCAAAAAAUUCAGGAGUAGUAAAUAUUUAUGUGAAAGGACAUAUUAUAAGCCACAGUAGUUAUGGAAAACAUCUCCAAUUUACAGCAAGUUAAAGAAAAAAAAAGAAGAGAAAAACAGCAGCUAAAAAAAACUGGGCAUCUUGCUUCUUUCUUAUUGAAAGUUCUGCCGUUUCUUUCAAGUCAAAUUGACCAUAAAAUGCUCAAAUGAGAUUCUUCAAUAGGAAUAUGUAAAAGAACUUUUGUGAAACGUGGGAGAGAAGCGAUAACAUUAUCCUUCCAAAAAUUCAGGAGUAAAUAUUUAUGUGAAAGGACAUAUUAUUUGGCCAUUUGACCUUAUUUGGUUGGAAAUGAUAAACUACACAUUAUUGUUUGCUUCAGUUGUGAUCUUGAUUAUGGGCUAUUUGGUAUUUUGCCUAC